RNAcentral lists this ribosomal RNA (500 nucleotides) under uncultured bacterium. Its description in RNAcentral is "partial 16S ribosomal RNA". It matches the Rfam family "Bacterial small subunit ribosomal RNA", at positions 30 to 523 of the family's 1533-position model. The record is from RNAcentral.
AUUGAACGCUGGCGGCAGGCCUAACACAUGCAAGUCGAGCGGAUGACGGGAGCUUGCUCCUUGAUUCAGCGGCGGACGGGUGAGUAAUGCCUAGGAAUCUGCCUGGUAGUGGGGGACAACGUUUCGAAAGGAACGCUAAUACCGCAUACGUCCUACGGGAGAAUGCAGGGGACUUUCGGGCCUUGCGCUAUCAGAUGAGCCUAGGUCGGAUUAGCUAGUUGGUGGGGUAAUGGCUCACCAAGGACACGAUCCGUAACUGGUCUGAGAGGAUGAUCAGUCACCCUGGAACUGAGACACGGUCCAGACUCCUACGGGAGGCAGCAGUGGGGAAUAUUGGACAAUGGGCGAAAGCCUGAUCCAGCCAUGCCGCGUGUGUGAAGAAGGUCUUCGGAUUGUAAAGCACUUUAAGUUGGGAGGAAGGGCAGUAAGUUAAUACCUUGCUGCUUUGACGUUACCGACAGAAUAAGCACCGGCUAAUUCUGUGCCAGCCGCCGCAGUAA